Molecule: ribosomal RNA, 427 nt
Filed under: uncultured bacterium
Lineage: Bacteria
Description: partial 16S ribosomal RNA
Rfam family: Bacterial small subunit ribosomal RNA
Source: RNAcentral
UGGGGAAUAUUGCACAAUGGGCGCAAGCCUGAUGCAGCCAUGCCGCGUGUAUGAAGAAGGCCUUCGGGUUGUAAAGUACUUUCAGCGGGGAGGAAGGCGAUAAGGUUAAUAACCUUGUCGAUUGACGUUACCCGCAGAAGAAGUACCGGCUAACUCCGUGCCAGCAGCCGCGGUAAUACGGAGGGUGCAAGCGUUAAUCGGAAUUACUGGGCGUAAAGCGCACGCAGGCGGUCUGUCAAGUCGGAUGUGAAAUCCCCGGGCUCAACCUGGGAACUGCAUUCGAAACUGGCAGGCUAGAGUCUUGUAGAGGGGGGUAGAAUUCCAGGUGUAGCGGUGAAAUGCGUAGAGAUCUGGAGGAAUACCGGUGGCGAAGGCGGCCCCCUGGACAAAGACUGACGCUCAGGUGUGAAAGCGUGGGGAGCAAACA